This 253-nucleotide ribosomal RNA is filed under the name uncultured bacterium. RNAcentral describes it as "partial 16S ribosomal RNA". It matches the Rfam family "Bacterial small subunit ribosomal RNA", at positions 524 to 776 of the family's 1533-position model. The record is from RNAcentral.
UACGGAGGGUGCGAGUGUUGUCCGGAAUCACUGGGCGUAAAGGGCGCGUAGGUGGCGCGGGCAGUCAACGGUGAAAGUUCGGGGCUCAACCCUGAAUCGGCCGUCGAUACUCCCGGGCUUGAGCACUGUAGAGGCAGAUGGAAUUCCGGGUGUAGCGGUGGAAUGCGUAGAGAUCCGGAAGAACACCGGUGGCGAAGGCGGGUCUCUGGGCCAUAACUGACGCUGAGGAGCGAAAGCGUGGGGAGCGAACAGG